Molecule: ribosomal RNA, 209 nt
Filed under: uncultured bacterium
Lineage: Bacteria
Description: partial 16S ribosomal RNA
Rfam family: Bacterial small subunit ribosomal RNA
Source: RNAcentral
UUCAGAUUGCAGGCUGCAACUCGCCUGCAUGAAGUCGGAAUUGCUAGUAAUCGCAGAUCAGCAUGCUGCGGUGAAUACGUUCCCGGGCCUUGUACACACCGCCCGUCACACCAUGGGAGUCGGUAGCACCCGAAGUCGGUAGCCUAACCGUAAGGAGGGCGCCGCCGAAGGUGGGAUUGAUGACUGGGGUGAAGUCGUAACAAGGUAUC